RNAcentral lists this transfer RNA (77 nucleotides) under Candidatus Bathyarchaeota archaeon. RNAcentral describes it as "tRNA-Lys". It matches the Rfam family "tRNA". Rfam says of the family: Transfer RNA (tRNA) molecules are approximately 80 nucleotides in length. Their secondary structure includes four short double-helical elements and three loops (D, anti-codon, and T loops). Lineage: Archaea; Thermoproteati; Candidatus Bathyarchaeota. RNAcentral also lists the same sequence under 1 other name. The record is from RNAcentral.
GGGCCCGUAGCUCAGCAAGGUAGAGCGGCGGGCUCUUAACCCGUAGGUCUGGGGUUCAAUUCCCCACGGGCCCGCCA